AUUGAACGCUGGCGGCAUGCUUUACACAUGCAAGUCGAACGGCAGCGCGGGCUCCGGCCUGGCGGCGAGUGGCGAACGGGUGAGUAAUGCAUCGGAACGCGCCCAGUAGUGGGGGAUAGCCCGGCGAAAGUCGGAUUAAUACCGCAUACGACCUGAGGGUGAAAGCGGGGGACCGAAAGGCCUCGCGCUAUUGGAGCGGCCGAUGUCGGAUUAGCUAGUUGGUGGGGUAAAGGCUUACCAAGGCGACGAUCCGUAGCUGGUCUGAGAGGACGACCAGCCACACUGGGACUGAGACACGGCCCAGACUCCUACGGGAGGCAGCAGUGGGGAAUUUUGGACAAUGGGGGCAACCCUGAUCCAGCCAUGCCGCGUGCGGGAAGAAGGCCUUCGGGUUGUAAACCGCUUUUGUUCGGGAAGAAAUCCUCUGGGCUAAUACCCCGGGGGGAUGACGGUACCGGAAGAAUAAGCACCGGCUAACUACGUG
Molecule: ribosomal RNA, 484 nt
Filed under: uncultured bacterium
Lineage: Bacteria
Description: partial 16S ribosomal RNA
Rfam family: Bacterial small subunit ribosomal RNA
Source: RNAcentral